This 400-nucleotide unclassified non-coding RNA is filed under the name uncultured bacterium. Its description in RNAcentral is "contains 16S-23S intergenic spacer region". The record is from RNAcentral.
UCCCCGUUGCCGGGGCAGUCUGGCUAGAAAAAUUCAACUAACCAUAAGGGUUGCGCUCGUUAAUGGACUUAACCAAACAUCUCACGACACGAGCUGACGACGGCCAUGCAACACCUGUCACUGAGUUCCCCUUACGACUUACGAUCUAACAAAUAGCCUAAGAAAGCUACUUAAUCGUAAAUCCUAAGGGGCACUCACUCCUUUCGGAGUAAUUCUCAGGAUGUCAAGCCUUGGUAAGGUUCUUCGCUUACCAUCGAAUUAAACAACACGCUCCACCGCUUGUGCGGGUCCCCGUCAAUUCCUUUGAGUUUUAGUCUUGCGACCGUACUCCCCAGGCGGGAUGCUUAACGCGUUAGCUUCGCUACUGAAGCGGGUCGAUACGCCCAACAGCUAGCAUCCA